Tarenaya hassleriana is the source of this 408-nucleotide long non-coding RNA. RefSeq lists it as uncharacterized. The transcript has 2 exons. The record is from RefSeq and is a predicted model, not a curated record. Lineage: Eukaryota; Viridiplantae; Streptophyta; Magnoliopsida; Brassicales; Cleomaceae.
GGGGAUCUUGUCAUCAAACUUCCUCAUGUCUUCCCACGGUCCAUCUCCGACUCCAACAAGCACAAUAGACAAAGCAUACGAGCUGCGGAUAAGAUUGCGAUAUCGAGACUUGAACCGUUACCUGACCAUCUGCUAUGAUCACCAGAACAUGGAAUUGGCCUCCAUUCUUCUCAACUAUGUCAAUGGCGGCAUCAAUGACCGGUCCGUAAGUUGUAGGCCCUUUAACAUGGAAAGAUAGAAGAAGCUUUCAUAUCGAAGGCCAUGAUUCUUCUAUGAAACAGAGUAGAUGCUGAUUUGGUACAAGGGACGGUGAUAGAUCAGAGGGAAAGUCUUUGACCUGAAAGACGCAAGUUUGGAACUAUUCUUCGGUAGCAUGCUAAGACCUCUUCGAAGCCAUGGCACGGGGAA